Molecule: ribosomal RNA, 254 nt
Filed under: uncultured bacterium
Lineage: Bacteria
Description: partial 16S ribosomal RNA
Rfam family: Bacterial small subunit ribosomal RNA
Source: RNAcentral
UACGUAGGGGUCUAGCGUUGUCCGGAAUUAUUGGGCGUAAAGAGCUCGUAGGCGGUUCGACAAGUCGGAUGUGAAAUCUCCACGCUUAACGUGGAGGGGCCAUUCGAAACUGUCGUGACUGGAGUCCGGUAGGGGAGUGCGGAAUUCCUGGUGUAGCGGUGAAAUGCGCAGAUAUCAGGAGGAACACCAGUGGCGAAGGCGGCACUCUGGGCCGGUACUGACGCUGAGGAGCGAAAGCGUGGGGAGCGAACAGG